This 1213-nucleotide ribosomal RNA is filed under the name metagenome. Its description in RNAcentral is "SSU rRNA". It matches the Rfam family "Eukaryotic small subunit ribosomal RNA", at positions 558 to 1786 of the family's 1831-position model. The record is from RNAcentral.
AGUCUGGUGCCAGCAGCCGCGGUAAUUCCAGCUCCAAUAGCGUAUAUUAAAGUUGUUGCAGUUAAAAAGCUCGUAGUUGGAUCUGGGGUUCGGGUCGGCGGUUUGCCGCUUCGGCGGCUACUGCCGUGCUCGACUCUUACUAGCCGGUGCGUCUUGCGGUGCUCUUCAUCGAGUGCCAUAGGAGCCUGGCAUGUUUACUUUGAAAAAAUUAGAGUGCUCAAAGCAGGCGAUUCCGCCUGAAUAGUGUUGCAUGGAAUAAUGGAAUAGGACCUCGGUUCUAUUUUGUUGGUUUUCGGAACUUGAGGUAAUGAUUAAGAGGGACGGUCGGGGGCAUUCGUAUUUCGGUGUUAGAGGUGAAAUUCUUGGAUCGCUGAAAGACGGACAAAUGCGAAAGCAUCUGCCAAGAACGUCUCCAUUAAUCAAGAGCGAAAGUCAGAGGUUCGAAGACGAUCAGACACCGUCCUAGUUCUGACCAUAAACGAUGCCAACUAGCGAUCCGCAGUGGUUGCUAUAAACGGACUCUGCGAGCAGCUUCCGGGAAACCAAAGUGUUUGGGUUCCGGGGGAAGUAUGGUUGCAAAGCUGAAACUUAAAGGAAUUGACGGAAGGGCACCACCAGGAGUGGAGCCUGCGGCUUAAUUUGACCCAACACGGGGAAACUCACCCGGUCCGGACACUGUAAGGAUUUACAGAUCGAGAGCUCUUUCUUGAUUCGGUGGAUGGUGGUGCAUGGCCGUUCUUAGUUGGUGGAGUGAUUUGUCUGGUUAAUUCCGAUAACGAACGAGACUCUAGCCUGCUAACUAGUUGCGCCGUGUUCAUACGCGGCUGUAGACUUCUUAGAGGGACAGGUGGCGUUUAGCCACACGAAAUUGAGCAAUAACAGGUCUGUGAUGCCCUUAGAUGUCCGGGGCCGCACGCGCGCUACACUGAAGGAGUCAGCGUGUGCUAUCCGGGCUCGGAAGAGUUCGGUAACCCGUUGAAACUCCUUCGUGCUUGGGAUUGUGGCUUGUAAUUAUCGCGCAUGAACGAGGAAUUCCCAGUAAGUGCAAGUCAUCAGCUUGCGCUGACUACGGCCCUGCCCUUUGUACACACCGCCCGUCGCUACUACCGAUUGAAUGGUUUAGCAAGGUACUCGGAUUGGUCUCGAUCUUGUACGAAAGUGCGGGAUCUGUGGCCGAGAAGAAGGCCAAACUUGAUCAUUUAGAGGAAGUAAA